This 505-nucleotide ribosomal RNA is filed under the name uncultured bacterium. Its description in RNAcentral is "bacterial SSU rRNA". It matches the Rfam family "Bacterial small subunit ribosomal RNA", at positions 107 to 607 of the family's 1533-position model. The record is from RNAcentral.
UGAGUAAUGUCUGGGAAACUGCCUGAUGGAGGGGGAUAACUACUGGAAACGGUAGCUAAUACCGCAUAACGUCGCAAGACCAAAGAGGGGGACCUUCGGGCCUCUUGCCAUCAGAUGUGCCCAGAUGGGAUUAGCUAGUAGGUGGGGUAAUGGCUCACCUAGGCGACGAUCCCUAGCUGGUCUGAGAGGAUGACCAGCCACACUGGAACUGAGACACGGUCCAGACUCCUACGGGAGGCAGCAGUGGGGAAUAUUGCACAAUGGGCGCAAGCCUGAUGCAGCCAUGCCGCGUGUGUGAAGAAGGCCUUCGGGUUGUAAAGCACUUUCAGCGAGGAGGAAGGUGGUGAGCUUAAUACGCUCAUCAAUUGACGUUACUCUCCCAAAAAAAAAACGGCUAACUCCGUGCCAGCAGCCGCGGUAAUACGGAGGGUGCAAGCGUUAAUCGGAAUUACUGGGCGUAAAGCGCACGCAGGCGGUUUGUUAAGUCAGAUGUGAAAUCCCCGGG